CCCACCCGGAAGGAGGCCGCUGCGCCCAGGGGACGCCCAGCCACAGACCCCUGGGCCCUGAUGGCUCACAUUCAUCUCGCCCCGAGAUGAGCCUGGGGGGGGCCACCGGGCAGGGAGAGGACCUGCCUGCGGCUGGGGAUAGCAGCCACCACAAGGAGGGAGAGCCAGCCCGUCGCCCCCUGCCCGUCCAGGAGGACUCAGCAGCCCCCAGGGCCCGGGCAGCCCACACCUCUCACAGGCCUGCAGCCCCUUUCCCUCUCCCCGCUGUGUCUCUGAGAGUUUGUCAAGUGAUGUCCCCUGGCAGGGGGUGGGGGCAGAACACUGAAAUGGGAACAAGGAUCCCAUCAAAGACAAGCCCUACCGUCCUGCCCUAAAGCCAGUGCCCAGCUCUUCCCGCCCCUGGAGCCACUGGAGGGGCCUUCGAUUCCAUGAGGACCGAAGCCUGAGCUCUCCCUCGCCUUCCACCCUGAAACCCAGUCUCCUGGAGCUGUGGGAGCAGAGAUUACACACAGGGGUCAUUCAAGACCUGCCUCCGCUGCUUACAAGUUCAGGACCUUGGAUUCCCAGAAUAUCUCUUGGAAGAGAGAACACUUUUAACAGGAACCCAAGAAAUCUCCCGCAGUUGUAGAGACCCUCGGUGCCACCUGGAUCCGGAAUCCAAAGGAGUCCUACGUUCACGACUGUCACCGCACAUGGCAGCCACCAGCCCUCGCAGGAGGGUGCCCGAGGUCCUGAUCCCGGCGUCACCAGCUCACUCUGCGAUCUUCGCCAAGCCCCUCAAUCCUUCUGCUCUGCCAUGUGCAAACCAAAGGCUCCCCGUGUCACCCUGGCUUCUCCAUGGCAGAGAAGCAGAAUCCAGAGAGGACGCGGGGUUGGCACUGAGGACCAUAGGACCGUUCUUCCCGACAGUGUGUUAUAGAUUUCUUUAGAAAUGCCACCCUCAGCAGCACGUGACUAAGGACCUGGCCGGUUAUCACCAUGUAAUCACCCUGUCCCAUGUGUCUAGGAGUUUCCUCAUUGGAGUCCUGAGGGUGCUGUGUCCCCGCACAGUCAGGACCGUCGGUCACCCUGUCUGCACUCCCCCUUGGGUGAGAAAGUGAGCAAAUCCUGGCUGGUGGUGUGUCCUCUGUUUUCCCCAAACAGACUGGGAGUGGCUCCUCCGCCGGCUGGGGGUGGGGGGUGGAGAGAAAAGACCCCUUUUAGUUUAAGAGAGAAGAGGACAGAGGCAACUUCAAGAUGGCAAAGAGGAGCUCCCUGCCUGGCUCAGCAGAAACCAAUCUGAGUAGGAUCCAUGAGGAUGCGGGUUCGAUCCCUGGCCUCCCUCAGUGGGUUAAGUCCGGCGUUGCUGUGAGCUGUGGCGUAGGUCGCAGACAUGGCUCAGAUCUGGCGUUGCCGUGGCUGUGGUGUAGGCUGGCUGCUACAGCUCUGAUUGGACCCCUAGCCUGGGAACCUCCACAUGCCGCAGGUGCAGCCCUAAAAAGACACACACACACACAAAGAUGUCAAAGAGCCUGCCUCUUGCAACUUCAAGCUGACUUGGGCUGGGAUUUUUUGGCCCGACCCAGAGCCCCUAGAUUCUUGGCUGGGGCCCGCUCUUGGCUCCUGUCUUGCUGGGUUUCCACGUGGGGCUGCGUGGCAGGGAGGGCAGGUGCGGAGCUGCUGUGGUAAAGGCCUCCUCGUGGUCACAUAGAGGUGUUUAGCUCCUCUUCAGGCCGCUGCUCACGCAGGUGUUCCCCGGCAGGACACCGGGCAUGUGCCCGCACACGUGUUCUCCUUGUCGGCACCUUCACUUGCCACCUCGACGCUGGGCCCACACACUCACCAACGGUAACCAGAGCUUAGGCUUAGGCAAAACACCCACUCGAGCUGUGUACAUAGUCACGCACACACGUGGAUGGAUGCACGGAAGAGGGACCGGGAAGUGGCACAUGGGCAGACAGAAGAUUUCCGGAGCCACCGUGGCAUGAGUGUGCUCGGGGGGUGGCAGUGGCCAUGCACACAGCACACACACACCUCCUCCAGCUGCCUGAGCUCGUCUUCAGCCAGGACUCCAGCCUGGCAGCAGUUUGGGGGCAGGCCCCGAACUUCAAGAGAUGUCCCCCCCCUCUCCCUGUCAGGCAGGAGCCUCUGGGUGGCCAGACCUGUGUGGGUACCAGAGCCUUCUGGGACAGCUCCCCGUGAGACCGGGCAGGCCUGGGCGUGCUGCGCAAGAGAGCAGGCGUGCGGGGGGUGGCUCUUACACAAUCCGCAUCCGGGCUCGGCCGGGCGGGAGAGUUGAAAGGCCCCUGGCAGCUCCCCAGGCCCUGGUGCCCGGGCAGGGAAACCACAGCCUGAAACUCCUGGGUUUCUGAAGGCGGGAUUUUUUUGGAGGCCUGCUCCACUCAGGCUGCCUCUCCGACUCUGUCAUUCCUGUGAGGCCAGCGGGCUGCCAAGCAUGUUGGGCACCGAAUCAUAGGCUUCCAGAAACUCAGCUAGGCUGGUGCCCUCAUUUCCCACCGAAUAUGGGAAGAAUUUGCUGAAGACAUUGUUCUUUUGUCCAGAGUCCCGCAAACACUGUGAAACCCACCCACUUAGCUACAGAUGGCAGCGGGAAAACGGGGUCCCGAGGACACUAACAGGUUUCCUGGGUGUGCCAGACUCUACUUUAAACAGUUUCUGAAUAUUAACUUGUUCAGUUCCUACCAUAGCCUUGGGAAGUAGGUACGAUUUUUGGCAUCUCUAUUCUUUAGAGGUGAGGAAGUAACUGCCUGAUUUCACACAACUAGCACGUAGCAGGGCUGGGCGUUGAACCCAGGCUGCUUCACUCACAUUUAUAUUCUUUUGGGUCUUUGGGGAAUCAAAAUGAUGAGAUGCCCCGUUGGGAAUACAUUGGAAAUAGCUUAGGAGCAAAGGCUGCGAAUUUAAGUGCCUAUAGGGCCAGGCAAGUGAAAUACAUAUGUGUCUGAGGCCAGCUGGCAGAGGCUGGUUGUCCCCCUGGAGGGUGUGUAGGCAACCCAGAGGUGUCCCUCAGGCACCUUUUUUAAAGAUAAAACUUGCCUGGAGGCCAUUUGAGUCCUCUGGCUUAGAGCGUCUCUAACCUAAGCCCAGUGCACCUCGGGCUGUAAAUAGAGCUGGGGCAGGAAAUGUGGGCUACCAGGGCAUACCAGUUUGUCUUGAGGGGUUUGAAAGGCCACAAAAGCAGUACGGGGCAGAGAUGCAUCAGUAAGUGAAAGUGAUAGGGAAUGGAACAAACAACCUGUUCAGAAACAGCAAAAGAGGUGAGGGGUUGCCUGUUACUGGAGGCAUGGGGCUCUUGAGAGCCUAAAUAACACCGCCACUCUUGAGCUGUCACAUACCACACUCCUGUGGCAAGAUGGAGGUCCGAGGCUACUCCUGACCCAUGGCUCACAGAACAACGCAGAUUCCUCCAUUCUAGGGUUUUAGCCCCAACUUGGUCGUGGAAUCACGUGGUUACUGCAAGUCCCUCGCUACAUAUGGAUACAUAUAUAUCCCUUGGUUUGCUGUCUUGACUUGAUAAAAGGAGAGUGAUAGGACAUUAGAGGUUUAACCUA
This 3551-nucleotide long non-coding RNA is filed under the name Sus scrofa (pig). Its description in RNAcentral is "lncRNA (ENSSSCG00015014974.1)". Lineage: Eukaryota; Metazoa; Chordata; Mammalia; Artiodactyla; Suidae. The record is from RNAcentral.